UACGUAGGGUGCGAGCGUUAAUCGGAAUUACUGGGCGUAAAGCGUGCGCAGGCGGUCUCGCAAGUCCGAUGUGAAAUCCCCGGGCUCAACCUGGGAACUGCAUUUGUGACUGCACAGCUGGAGUGCGGCAGAGGGGGAUGGAAUUCCGCGUGUAGCAGUGAAAUGCGUAGAUAUGCGGAGGAACACCGAUGGCGAAGGCAAUCCCCUGGGCCUGCACUGACGCUCAUGCACGAAAGCGUGGGGAGCAAACAGG
RNAcentral lists this ribosomal RNA (253 nucleotides) under uncultured bacterium. RNAcentral describes it as "partial 16S ribosomal RNA". It matches the Rfam family "Bacterial small subunit ribosomal RNA", at positions 524 to 776 of the family's 1533-position model. The record is from RNAcentral.